RNAcentral lists this ribosomal RNA (301 nucleotides) under uncultured bacterium. Its description in RNAcentral is "partial 16S ribosomal RNA". It matches the Rfam family "Bacterial small subunit ribosomal RNA", at positions 509 to 807 of the family's 1533-position model. The record is from RNAcentral.
CAGUAGCCACGGGAAUACAGAGGGUGCGAGCGUUAAUCGGAUUUACUGGGCGUAAAGCGUGCGUAGGCGGCUAAUUGAGUCGGAUGUGAAAUCCUUGAGCUUAACUUGGGAAUUGCAUUCGAUACUGGUUAGCUAGAGUGUGGGAGAGGAUGGUAGAAUUCCAGGUGUAGCGGUGAAAUGCGUAGAGAUCUGGAGGAAUACCGAUGGCGAAGGCAGCCAUCUGGCCUAACACUGACGCUGAGGUACGAAAGCAUGGGGAGCAAACAGGAUUAGAUACCCGUGUAGUCCCUGUCUCUUAUAC